GUGUCAGCAGCCGCGGUAAGACAGAGGUGGCAAGCGUUGUUCGGAAUUACUGGGCUUAAAGGGCGCGUAGGCGGUGGCGUAAGUCCGGGGUGGAAGGCUGAGGCUUAACCUCAGGAUUGCCCUGGAAACUGCAUCACUUGAGUCAGCAAGGGGAUGGCGGAAUUCCUGGUGUAGCGGUGAAAUGCGUAGAUAUCAGGAGGAAGGCCGGUGGCGAAGGCGGCCAUCUGGUGCUGAACUGACGCUGAGGCGCGAAAGCGUGGGGAGCAAACAGGAUUAGAUACCCUGGUAGUCC
This 292-nucleotide ribosomal RNA is filed under the name uncultured bacterium. RNAcentral's name for it is "partial 16S ribosomal RNA". It matches the Rfam family "Bacterial small subunit ribosomal RNA", at positions 505 to 796 of the family's 1533-position model. The record is from RNAcentral.